Molecule: long non-coding RNA, 360 nt
Organism: Chinchilla lanigera (long-tailed chinchilla)
Lineage: Eukaryota; Metazoa; Chordata; Mammalia; Rodentia; Chinchillidae
Exons: 3
Source: RefSeq, a predicted model, not a curated record
CAAGGCUCCCAGAGUUCACCAGGGCUUGGCAUCCCUCCUGUGAUGUUGGGGGCCAGGGAGUAGCUUCCCAAGUUUCACAAAGCUGUCCAGGGAUCAGUGUCUCUCCCACAAAGCUUUCCACUACGGGACUGUUUCAGCAUGCCACGUCUGCCUAUAGCUGGCCCACCACGCAAAGACUGAAGCUUCUCAAAAUGUGAGCUUGCCACUAUGAUCUUGGCAGCAUGAGAUCACACAGAAAUACCGAAAGCUUGAGACAUCUUCAAAUGCUUCCCGGAGUGUCACGUGAAACCUCCGUACAGUCCGUGCUGGCAAAAGGACCCGGCAUCUGUAGGCACAACAAAUGAUGAGUUUAUAUUGCAA